AGAAUCAACGCUGGCGGCGUGCCUAACACAUGCAAGUCGAACGAGAAAGUGGGAGCAAUCCCACGAGUAAAGUGGCGCACGGGUGAGUAACACGUGACUAACCUACCCUUGAGUGGGGGAUAACCUAGGGAAACCUGGGCUAAUACCGCAUAAUACCUACGGGUCAAAGGAGCAAUUCGCUUAAGGAGGGGGUCGCGGCAGAUUAGUUAGUUGGCGGGGUAAUGGCCCACCAAGACAGUGAUCUGUAUCCGGCCUGAGAGGGCGCACGGACACACUGGAACUGAAACACGGUCCAGACUCCUACGGGAGGCAGCAGUGGGGAAUUUGCGCAAUGGGGGAAACCCUGACGCAGCAACGCCGCGUGGAGGAUGAAGCCCCUUGGGGCGUAAACUCCUUUCGAUCGGGAAGAUAAUGACGGUACCGGAAGAAGAAGCCCCGGCUAACUUCGCGCCAGCAGCCGC
Molecule: ribosomal RNA, 461 nt
Filed under: uncultured bacterium
Lineage: Bacteria
Description: SSU rRNA
Rfam family: Bacterial small subunit ribosomal RNA
Source: RNAcentral